This 394-nucleotide ribosomal RNA is filed under the name uncultured bacterium. RNAcentral describes it as "bacterial SSU rRNA". It matches the Rfam family "Bacterial small subunit ribosomal RNA", at positions 30 to 429 of the family's 1533-position model. The record is from RNAcentral.
AUUGAACGCUGGCGGCAUGCCUUACACAUGCAAGUCGAACGGCAGCGGACCUUCGGGUGCCGGCGGGCGGCGAACGGGUGAGUAAUAUAUCGGAACGUACCUUUCAGUGGGGGAUAACGUAGCGAAAGUUACGCUAAUACCGCAUAUUCUGUGAGCAGGAAAGCAGGGGAUCGCAAGACCUUGCGCUGAUUGAGCGGCCGAUAUCAGAUUAGCUAGUUGGUGAGGUAAAGGCUCACCAAGGCGACGAUCUGUAGCGGGUCUGAGAGGAUGAUCCGCCACACUGGAACUGAGACACGGUCCAGACUCCUACGGGAGGCAGCAGUGGGGAAUUUUGGACAAUGGGCGCAAGCCUGAUCCAGCCAUGCCGCGUGAGUGAAGAAGGCCUGGUUGUAAG